Molecule: ribosomal RNA, 247 nt
Filed under: uncultured bacterium
Lineage: Bacteria
Description: partial 16S ribosomal RNA
Rfam family: Bacterial small subunit ribosomal RNA
Source: RNAcentral
UCUUAUGAUUAGUGGCGCACGGGUGAGUAACACGUAGGUAACAUGCCUUUUAGUGGGGGACAACAUCGGGAAACCGGUGCUAAUACCGCAUAAGCACGCAAGUGGAAAGGGGGCUUCGGCUCUCGCUAAAAGAGUGGCCUGCGGGACAUUAGCUUGAUGGUGAGGUAACGGCUCACCAUGGCGAUGAUGUCUAGCUGGUCUGAGAGGAUGAUCAGCCACACUGGAACUGAGACACGGUCCAGACUCC